RNAcentral lists this long non-coding RNA (407 nucleotides) under Equus asinus (donkey). Its description in RNAcentral is "lncRNA (ENSEASG00005036256.1)". The record is from RNAcentral. Lineage: Eukaryota; Metazoa; Chordata; Mammalia; Perissodactyla; Equidae.
AAAUGCCUCCCCAUAAAGGUUAUGCACCCACUGUAAAUGCAGCAUCUCUUCAAAAAGAUGGCCAGGAUCCCAGUAUAACAGAAACCUCUCAAAACCUCAGACCAAAGAGGUGGAUUAUUGUAUUUUCCUUCCAGACCCAAAUGCCUGUUUUUGAAGGACAGUGGAAAACGGAGAAGAGGGAAGCACCAGCAAGACAGAAAGGAACACAACCAACCUCCCCCGAACGGGAGGCGCAGAGGAAGCAGGCGGCUGUGCUCCUUGAAAGCAGCCAUCCGUCCAACUCCAUUUCAAUAAUGUUUGCAAUUUUCCUCCUACUGGGUUGACUGGAGGCACAGCUGCCCCAUAUGCGGGUCCAUGCGCCCAGCUUUUGCUAAAAAUGACCCUAACAAAUAAAAGGUGAAGCGAGU